UAAAAGAUGAAGGAACCUCUGCACAC
RNAcentral lists this non-coding RNA (26 nucleotides) under Rattus norvegicus (Norway rat). Lineage: Eukaryota; Metazoa; Chordata; Mammalia; Rodentia; Muridae. The record is from RNAcentral.